AUUGAACGCUGGCGGUAGGCCUAACACAUGCAAGUCGAACGGCAGCACAGUAAGAGCUUGCUCUUACGGGUGGCGAGUGGCGGACGGGUGAGGAAUACAUCGGAAUCUACUUUUUAGUGGGGGAUAACGUAGGGAAACUUACGCUAAUACCGCAUACGACCUACGGGGGAAAGCAGGGGAUCUUCGGACCUUGCGCGAUUGAAUGAGCCGAUGUCGGAUUAGGUAGUUGGCGGGGUAAAGGCCCACCAAGGCGACGAUCCGUAGCUGGUCUGAGAGGAUGAUCAGCCACACUGGAACUGAGACACGGUCCAGACUCCUACGGGAGGCAGCAGUGGGGAAUAUUGGACAAUGGGCGCAAGCCUGAUCCAGCCAUACCGCGUGGGUGAAGAAGGCCUUCGGGUUGUAAAGCGCUUUUGUUGGAAAAGAAAAGCAGCAGGUUAAUACCCCGCUGUUAUGACGGUACCCAAAGAAUAAGCACCGGCUAACUUCGUG
This 492-nucleotide ribosomal RNA is filed under the name uncultured bacterium. RNAcentral's name for it is "partial 16S ribosomal RNA". It matches the Rfam family "Bacterial small subunit ribosomal RNA", at positions 30 to 507 of the family's 1533-position model. The record is from RNAcentral.